RNAcentral lists this ribosomal RNA (459 nucleotides) under uncultured bacterium. RNAcentral's name for it is "partial 16S ribosomal RNA". It matches the Rfam family "Bacterial small subunit ribosomal RNA", at positions 338 to 795 of the family's 1533-position model. The record is from RNAcentral.
CCUACGGGUGUCAGCAGUGAGGAAUAUUGGUCAAUGGCCGGAACGCUGAACCAGCCAAGUCGCGUGAGGGACGACUGCCCUCUGUGUUGUAAACCUCUUUUAUAAGGGAAUAAUAAACUCUACGUGUAGCAUGAUGCCUGUACCAUAUGAAUAAGCAUCGGCUAACUCCGUGCCAGCGGCCGCGGUCAUACGGAGGAUGCGAGGGUUAUCCGGAUUUAUUGGGUUUAACGGGUGCGUAGGCGGUUGUUUAAGUUGAUGGUAAAACGUCGGGGCUUCACCCUGAAUUGCAAUUGAGACUGGAAGACUCGAGUUCAGACGAGGUAGGCGGAAUACGUAGUGUAGCGGUGAAAUGCUUAGAUAUAACUAAGAACUCCGAUAGCGAAGGCAGCUUACCAGACUGCGACUGACGCUGAAGCACGAGAGCGUGGGUAGCGAACAGGAUUAGAUACCCGUGUAGUC